GUUUGGAAGUCCUGGCACACCAUAGUUGGGUUCUCUGCUUCAGGGUCUCACCGGGCUGCAGUCAAGGUACUAACUGGGCUGUGUUCUCAUCUGAAAGCUCAUCUAGGGAAAAAUCUGCUUCCAGGCUCUAUCAGGUUGUUGGCAGAAAGCACUUCUCUGCAGCUCUAUGACUGAGGGCCCUGUCUUCUUACUGACUGUUGGCUAGAGGCUUCCUUCAAGCCCUAGAGACUGCCUAUAGUUCCUAAAAGCUGCCCACAGUUCUUGCCACAUGGCAGCUUGAAUUUUCAAAGCCAGCAGGAUAAUCUUUCUCUCUCCAGUCUGCUAAAAUGGAGUCUUAAAUAAUGUAAUAUAAUCAGGAGAGUGACAUUGCAUCCAGCACCACUGCCAUAUUCUAUUGGUUAGAAGCAAGUCAUCAGUUCUGUCUGCACUCAAAGAUAGGGGAUCAUAGACGGGUAUGACCCAAUGGAGGUCAGUUUAGGGUACCACCACAGCCAUGUUAUUUUUGGGAGGAUGUAUCCUUCUGUGCUUUUUUCUAUGAUUGCAUACACAUAUUACAUUACAAAUACAGUGUAAAUUGAUUUUUUCAUUUUGUCAGUAUUCUUUAAAAAUCUGAUUUUUGAGUGACAUCAGCAUCAUAGCAGAAUGAGUUGUUCCCUUUGUCUCUCCCCUCUAAGUUACAACCAGUAGGACAUCUACAGACCAACAAAGGAUUCUCUGCAUAGCACACCAGAACGCCUGAGAGAUCCAUACAUCUAUACAUCUAAAGAGUUAUUCAUAGUAGCCAAGACUUGGAUGCAACCUAAAUGCCCAUCAACAGAUGAACAGAGAAAGAAGAUGUGAUAAACACAAUGGAAUACUACUCACCCAUAAAAAAGAUGAAACCUUGCCACUUACAACAAUGUGGAUGGACCUUGAGGGUAUUAUGAGUAGAGGCCGUGUGAGGACACAGAGAGAAGGUGGCCAUCUACAAGCCAGGAAGAGAAGCCUCACCAGAACCAACCCUGACAGCACCUUGAUCGUGGACUUCUAGCCUCCAGAACAGUGAGAAAAUAGAUUUCUGUUGUUUCUGCCGCCCAGUCUGCGGUAUCUCCUGAGCAGACUAACACACCUGCUUUAUUUUUCUUUGCAACACUUAUUACCACAUGACUUAUGAGUGAUUACAUGUCUACUAGAACAUAAGCUGGGGCUUUUUGAUUAUGGCUGUGAGAUCACCUGGCAUGUAGUAGGCAUGCCAUAAGUAUUUGUCGGAUGAGCGAAU
RNAcentral lists this long non-coding RNA (1258 nucleotides) under Equus caballus (horse). RNAcentral describes it as "lncRNA (ENSECAG00000045033.1)". Lineage: Eukaryota; Metazoa; Chordata; Mammalia; Perissodactyla; Equidae. The record is from RNAcentral.